Molecule: ribosomal RNA, 453 nt
Filed under: uncultured Paraprevotella sp.
Lineage: Bacteria; Pseudomonadati; Bacteroidota; Bacteroidia; Bacteroidales; Prevotellaceae
Description: partial 16S ribosomal RNA
Rfam family: Bacterial small subunit ribosomal RNA
Source: RNAcentral
ACGGGAGGCAGCAGUGAGGAAUAUUGGUCAAUGGGCGGAAGCCUGAACCAGCCAAGUCGCGUGAAGGAUGAAGGUAUUAUGUAUUGUAAACUUCUUUAGCAGCAGAGUAAUAAGGGGGUCGAGACCUCCGAUGCAAGUAUGCUGAGAAUAAGGAUCGGCUAACUCCGUGCCAGCAGCCGCGGUAAUACGGAAGAUGCGAGCGUUAUCCGGAUUUAUUGGGUUUAAAGGGAGCGUAGGCGGACUGUUAGGUCUGUGGUCAAAUGUCAGGGCCCAACCUUGGCAUGCCAUGGAAACCGGCGGUCUUGAAUACACGCAAGGCAGAUGGAAUUCGUCGUGUAGCGGUGAAAUGCUUAGAUAUGACGAAGAACUCCGAUUGCGAAGGCAGUCUGCUGGAGUGCGAUUGACGCUGAGGCUCGAAAGCGCGGGUAUCAAACAGGAUUAGAUACCCUGGUA